CUCUAGCUGACGAGUCCCGAAAAGGACGAAAUGCGCAUCCUGGAU
Molecule: non-coding RNA, 45 nt
Filed under: Trichobilharzia regenti
Lineage: Eukaryota; Metazoa; Platyhelminthes; Trematoda; Strigeidida; Schistosomatidae
Source: RNAcentral